UUUAUUUUUUAUAAUAGUAAAACAUAAAUGACCGGUUUUUCCGGUCCGGUCUGACCAGUUGAACCUCGAACCCCUCGCUAGACCUGUUCGAUAUGUGGUCCAGUUUUGAAAAUAUUGCUUUUUAUACAUCUAUUAUUCAAAAUUAAAUGUAUAUACAGCAUAAGUGUUCAUUUACCAAGCCCAUUCGACUAUUAUCACAUGCCUCAUCAACAAAGGCACGUCAACUAUUAUAUAAGGUUUUUAUAAUACGUUUAAGAAGUAAGAACACAUUUGUUGUAACAGACGUCGAAUAAAAAUAAAAAACAUAGACAUCGGAUCAAAAGUCUAUUGACAUCAAGGUUGUUCAUUAUUUUUCUGAUAUUUUGGUGAAACAAUCAUGUCUUUACUAACAUCUGUACAUAACCAUUUUGGUGAAACAAUCAAGUAUGUCUUUACUAACAUCUGUACAUAACAUAACCAUUUUGUCGACUGAGGCGGUUAAUAGGAUAUGAUUACUUGAAAAUCCAGGCAUGUUGCUUAAUACAUUGCAUCGUUUGUAAAUGUGGGGAAAAACUUAAUAGAUGAUGGUUGUAUAAACUGUUGAUUGAAACCCAAGAAGUCAAACCAACUCAACAGCAUUUCUCAUGGUUGGUAGAUUUUUCUAGUCGGUCUAGGAAACUUGAUCUUGCAUUGAAGUUUAUCAAGGCACUGAAAGCUAGGCAAGUGCAAGGAGGGCAUUGUUCAGUGGUUGCAGAACAGGCUAUACAAUGGAGACAACGAUUCAGGAAAAAUGCUGCUGAAUGUGUUCUUCAAUGGGCUCUGUCUAACUUGAGUGGUUACAUGCUUGCAUCAACCAUGUAUGCAGUAUGCUGCACUGGUGGGAUGCUGCUACAAGGAUCAGAGACAUAGUAAAAUAUAAUAAUGUUAAGGCUGUAUCUACAUACAGCAUGGUUCGUUUUAGUAGAAGUGCUGAAAUAUAAUUGCUGGAGAUGGAAAUGAUCGUUCGUCCAUGAGCUACUAUUGACGAAUUACACAAGUGUGUGAAGAUGGUAGUGGCUGUUGUUUGGGCCACUAAUCAGACUCUUAUAGUGAUUGGAAUUGGUUACCAAAGCAGGUACUUCAAGUGCUCAAUCUUUACCUGCCAAUGAUAGAUACCAUCUGCAUCGCAAAAAUCAUCAUGGGGAUUGAGAGUUGCCAUUGAAGGAUGACCACAGCCUUCUGCUGCCAUGGAUGUGAAAGCAGUUGCAGAAGCUGAAGCAGCUCCUUUACUAGCUGAAAAGGCAGCAAGGAAAGCAGAGGUAGCAGAAGCAAAUGCAGAUUACUUGUUUCCCGCAGCAAAGCGCAAGAUGUUUUUCAAGUAAUGCUUAUCAAUAAUUGGCAGGGGAUCCAGGAAGCGUUUAUUCGGCCUAAUAAAUGACCUACCGCACCAUCUUUGAAGUCAUAAUAGAAAGGAAGCAUUAAAGUACAGAUACUGCAAUGAACAACUCGCCUAAAAUGCUAAAAGGGCCAAUAACACGCAACAGGCUACAGCCACUCCAAUAAUAAAAAAUUUGGUCAAAGUGAAGAUGAUUUUGGGUACUUCCCAUGGGAUGACGUGGAUGAGCGCUGCUAACGACAUGGUAAUCAUCAUCGCUAUGAUCAAAGCAACUAAUGUCAGACAUAGGUUGUGAUGCUUUUGUGUUGGUUUGUUUCCUGCUUCUCUAAUAAGUUGCAGUAUACCCAGGAGCACCGACGAACACCCAGCGCUGCAAGCAGCGAACUGUGCGAGUUCCCUGAAACUGUAAAGAAAAUAAAAAUGUUAAACAAGAGUUCCCUGAAACCUACUUGUAUUUUACUGUCAACAGAAUGUUCUUUAAUUAGGUAGUAA
Erigeron canadensis is the source of this 1846-nucleotide long non-coding RNA. RefSeq lists it as uncharacterized. The transcript has 4 exons. Lineage: Eukaryota; Viridiplantae; Streptophyta; Magnoliopsida; Asterales; Asteraceae. The record is from RefSeq and is a predicted model, not a curated record.